Molecule: long non-coding RNA, 513 nt
Organism: Talpa occidentalis (Iberian mole)
Lineage: Eukaryota; Metazoa; Chordata; Mammalia; Eulipotyphla; Talpidae
Exons: 3
Source: RefSeq, a predicted model, not a curated record
UCAGUUUCCCUUCGUUAGAAUAAUACCUCCCUCCUAGGGUUGUCGUGGAAACCAGAUGCGUUGCUAUGGGCAACCCUUCGGAUAAAGCCUAACGCAAGCCAAGCACUAGGCGAGUCCUGACUGACACAGUUGCUGUUGCCCGAGGCUGGAACCAGUGACCAUGACCUACCCCGAGGAGGUGGCCCAGAGCCACAGAGAAACCGAUGGAGAGGGCAGGGGUGCCCAGGUUGUCUCCACGCCGCUCGUCGGUGGAGGCAAAGAUGCAGAGCACCAGCUGCAGGGUCAGGAAGAGCUCCACGGUCACGGCCUGGCCAGCUGUCGUGUUGUUGCUCAGCUGGGGACAGAGGGGGGCAACACCUCACCCAAAAACUGACCAAGAGAGAGGUUAGCACGAUCCCUUCCAGUGACCGGGAAGUUCUUCCUAUUGUCUGGCCUCCAGUUAUUGCCUUUGAAGAGGCUGGAAAACAUCCGGUUGACUUGUGACGAACCUUCCAAGAGUAAAGUUUUGGCUCU